CAGCAGCCACGGUAAUACGAAGGGUGCAAGCGUUACUCGGAUUUACUGGGCGUAAAGCGUGCGUAGGCGGCUUCUUAAGUCGGAUGUGAAAUCCCUGAGCUUAACUUAGGAAUUGCAUUCGAUACUGGGAAGCUAGAGUAUGGGAGAGGAUGGUAGAAUUCCAGGUGUAGCGGUGAAAUGCGUAGAGAUCUGGAGGAAUACCGAUGGCGAAGGCAGCCAUCUGGCCUAAUACUGACGCUGAGGUACGAAAGCAUGGGGAGCAAACAGGAUUAGAUACCCGAGUAGUCCCUGUCUCUUAUAC
This 301-nucleotide ribosomal RNA is filed under the name uncultured bacterium. RNAcentral's name for it is "partial 16S ribosomal RNA". It matches the Rfam family "Bacterial small subunit ribosomal RNA", at positions 509 to 807 of the family's 1533-position model. The record is from RNAcentral.